Camellia sinensis is the source of this 262-nucleotide non-coding RNA. The record is from RefSeq and is a predicted model, not a curated record. NCBI's taxonomy places the organism in Eukaryota, Viridiplantae, Streptophyta, Magnoliopsida, Ericales, Theaceae.
UUCAUAGCUCUACCAACACAUAGUUUUAAGUGGGGGGAGUACUAUGUAUCCUGGAUUGCCUAGUCGCCUGGAGAAAGAAAUUUUAGACCGUUAUCUUGAAGCUGUUCUGAAGGGAAACAAGGAUGGGUUGAAGAAACUACGGUUGCGGAUAGAGGAUCCACCGCGAAGAAAGCAUAUGGUGUACCUUGGAGGAGCAGUCCUUGCAGGAAUUAUGAAGGAUGCACCAGAGUUUUGGAUUAGCAGAGAAGAUUACCCGGAAGAG